ACGGGGUGCAGCAGGCGCGAAACCUUUGCAAUGUGAGCAAGCACGACAAGGUUAAUCCGAGUGUUUCCUGCUAAAGGAAUCUUUUGUUAGCCGUAAAACCACUGAUGAAUAAGGGGUGGGCAAGUUCUGGUGUCAGCCGCCGCGGUAAAACCAGCACCUCAAGUGGUCAGGAGGAUUAUUGGGCCUAAAGCAUCCGUAGCCGGCUCUGCAAGUUUUCGGUUAAAUCCAUUUGCUUAACAAAUGGGCUGCCGAAAAUACUACAUAGCUAGGGAGUGGGAGAGGUAGACGGUAUUCGGUAGGAAGGGGUAAAAUCCUUUGAUCUAUUGAGGACCACCUAUGGCGAAGGCAGUCUACCAGAACACGUUCGACGGUGAGGGAUGAAAGCUGGGGGAGCAAACCGGAUUAGAUACCCGGGUAGUCCCAGCUGUAAACGAUGCAGACUCGGUGAUGCGCUGGCUUGUGGCCAGUGCAGUGCCGCAGGGAAGCCGUUAAGUUUGCCGCCUGGGAAGUACGUACGCAAGUAUGAAACUUAAAGGAAUUGGCGGGGGAGCAC
RNAcentral lists this ribosomal RNA (553 nucleotides) under uncultured Nitrososphaerota archaeon. RNAcentral's name for it is "bacterial SSU rRNA". It matches the Rfam family "Archaeal small subunit ribosomal RNA", at positions 325 to 879 of the family's 1478-position model. The record is from RNAcentral. Lineage: Archaea; Thermoproteati; Nitrososphaerota.